Long non-coding RNA from Patella vulgata (common limpet), 568 nucleotides. RefSeq lists it as uncharacterized. The record is from RefSeq and is a predicted model, not a curated record. NCBI's taxonomy places the organism in Eukaryota, Metazoa, Mollusca, Gastropoda, Patellidae. The transcript has 4 exons.
UGAAUUAUUCAUUUACCUUUCUGAUUUCUCUACUCUGUAGUCGUGAAUCUGAAAAUUUACCAACAUGCGUUUUUUGCUGACAGUUGUUCUCUUGGUUGCUGUAGUUAUGAUUGUUGCUAAUGCCAGUAGGAACGGUCGUCGUCGGCAUAAUCGUAAUAAUCGCCGUUAUGGGAGACCGAGAGCAGCUUUGAGAAACGCCAGCUGCCGAAGAGUAAAGAAUGCGGGUGUUUGUGAGAGAUGCUGUGAUCCGUGUGAAGACGUAGUAUGUACUGGGCCCCUAACGUGUGAUAUGGGAGUGUGUAAUUGUAACGGCACCAUCUGUGACGUUGAUCAAACCUGCACUGGAACUGGUGAUGGUGCCAGUUGUACAGACAAUUGUAACCCCGAUUGUAUUUUGCCCUUAACAUGUGAUGGGGGAGAAUGUAAAUGUGCAGGCAUCGUCUGUGACGUUUGUGACGAGUGCACUGAAACCACCUCAGGUCCAAAGUGUAUGCCUGGAUAAUUGGAUUCAAAUAUACAAUAUUAUAUAGAAAUAAUCUAAUAAAUAAUAAAUGAAAUUCACAUCUUA